Non-coding RNA from Vicugna pacos (alpaca), 1022 nucleotides. Lineage: Eukaryota; Metazoa; Chordata; Mammalia; Artiodactyla; Camelidae. The record is from RefSeq and is a predicted model, not a curated record.
UGCUCUGCGUGGGGAGCCCAGAGAGGCCUCCCAGCCCCCCCAGCGUGGUGAUCACUGGGAGAACCGGGAGGCAGGGCUCGGAGCCCUGGCCAGGCCAGGCGCAUGCAGGGGGCUGGGGUCUCGCAGGCGGCGGGCAGACGCGGGAGCGCUCGGAGCCUGCUCCAACUUUCACCCCGAGGCCGGCGGGCGAGUGAAGUAACAGAAACCCCGAUAUAAACUUUUAAAAAUAAUAUCAGUUUUAUUAAAUAUUCGAGAACGGAUCCAGAGGUCGGAUUUAUACAGGAGGGUAACACGAGGGGAUUUUUUUAAUUUAUUUUUUUCUCCUACUGGCUAAACAAACGUCAUUCACUUUUUUUCCUCUCUUUUUGCAAUUUUCCCUCUUUUUUUCCCUUUUUAAGAUGGGAUUGGAACACGGACGGUGCUAAACAUAAAUAUAAAUACAGAGACCACAAAUACAGCUAAAAAUAUUCACACAGAAACGGUCACAGUUUGUAAUAUGCCAUAAUGACCCCCAGGAUUCUUUAAAUACAAUUCGCCUGGGCUGGGCAUUUGCUGGGGCAGAGGGGCCGGGCGGGGGCUGCGGGGAGGCCCUGGGGGUUGCUGUGGGGCCACGACGCGCCCUCCUUGGGCCUCCCGCCCUCCCCGGCGGCCAGGCCAGGACCUGAGGCCCCGGAGCGGAGGCCCCAGGGCCCGGGAGCCGGCUCUCUGACGGGGGUGGGGGUGGGGGGCGCCGAGGGGGUGGGAGGCCAAGUCCUCGUUUGAGGAAGAUCUGUGGAGUCUGAAGCGAGGUUCAGGGGAGAGCCCCAAGGCCUGGGCGGGGGAAGGGGCCUGCAGACAAGCCGAGAACGAGCUAGCGGGAGCGAGGAGGAGGAGGCGCCUGGUGAAAGAGUUUGUGCGGUGAGGGAGGGGGGUCCAAAGUUGACUUUUCAGGUCCAUAUUUGACGCCCUAAUUUUGUCUCGGGGAGUCCAAACACAUCAAUUGUGCCAGUGAUAAAUAGAGUGUGUGAUUAGGAGGGAGCUGG